UCCGGAGAGCGCGUGCUCCAGCGGCAGGAGCGAAGAGGAGGAUGAACAGGAUCGUGGAGGUUUUGGUGAUAAUGGUGAUGGCGGGGAGCGCGUGAAGCCGUUUCUCGUGGGAUUAACUGUCGUUGACAUGGAUUUAAUGGACGAUCAUAGUUGUUUUAGUUGUUACUUCUCCUGAGAGACGCAGACAAACAGAAAGGAGGGGGAGAGAUGGGGGACCGACAGCGGCGGACCGGGAGACUCGGGAACCUCACGACCAAGUCCCGGGUCUCCAAGGAGACCAAGCUCCGGUUGCGCGUGGUUUUCCUGGAUGACAGCGAGCGCACGUUCGAGGUGGAGUUAAUGAGGGACGUCCAGUGACCCCCCGACAGGGCACUAAACACCAGCUAUAAGACAGCGAACGCUAAAAAAAAACAAAAACGUGUCACUGCAGUAAGUAAACACCGCACAAACACCAGAGACAGGUUCAGCGCUCCAUGUGGGCACACUUUGAUUUAAGCCUGAAUUAAAUUUCAGACACAGGGUCUUCAAAGCAGAUAAACAAUAAGACAGUACUUUUACAUGUUUGUAGUGUCCUUUGAAUUUUUGUCUAAUGUGGUUAAAGUGACCUAUUCUUCUGAUCUGACUCCAUAUUUCUAUUCUUGGACUCUACUAGAAAAGCUUUGCAUGAUUCAGAGUUCAAAAUAAUCAUGACGACUUUCUUCUGAUUGGCUGCCCCUUAAAUACAAAAUACCUUAAUAACAAGUGAUUAAAAUUUUAAAAUAUUUGGUUAUAUAAGAUUGUGACAAGACUGAAUAAAUAUCAGUUUGUAGAAAAUAACAAAAGGGGUAAAAAAAAAAAAUGGGAAAACAGAGGAAAUAUAACUGUUAGUUUAAAGGACAGAAAUGGAGGUAAAAACAGGACAUAUCACAAAGAAUCACACAGUUUCAAAGUGAUUUAAUUUCUGGCUGGAGUCACAAAUGUCAUAUGGAAAUAGGGGGUCACACCGAUUAGGUUGGUGUGCAAAAAAGAAGAUGUAGCAGAAACUCUUAAACACUGUAAUUUAACAAAAAACAUUAAAGGAAAGAUGCACAGCUUAUAUACAGCUAUAUAUCUAAUCUGUUAUAAUCAGUUCAUCAUUUCCCCUUAAAUGGAGCCACAUUUGUAAGGGAAAUACAUUUGUGGGUUGAGCAGCAGAGUUGAGUAUGUGGGUUUUGUCCAUGAAAAACUUGCCAGCUCUUCUCUGGUAAGGCAAAACAAUUUAUUCUGCUUUUGAGUCGUGUUUAGUCCAAAGAAACAAGACAUAGCAACAGUUUACAGUCUAUUCAUUGAACAAAUGGACCUCAGUACCAUGUGGAAGAACCAUACA
RNAcentral lists this long non-coding RNA (1345 nucleotides) under Oreochromis niloticus (Nile tilapia). RNAcentral's name for it is "lncRNA (ENSONIG00000032990.1)". Lineage: Eukaryota; Metazoa; Chordata; Actinopteri; Cichliformes; Cichlidae. The record is from RNAcentral.